CCUACGGGGGGCAGCAGUGGGGAAUAUUGCACAAUGGGGGAAACCCUGAUGCAGCGACGCCGCGUGAGUGAAGAAGUAUUUCGGUAUGUAAAGCUCUAUCAGCAGGGAAGAAAAAAGACGGUACCUGACGAAGAAGCCCCGGCUAACUACGUGCCAGCAGCCGCGGCAAGACGCAGGGGGCAAGCGUUAUUCGGAUUUACUGGGAGUAAAGGGAGCGUAGGCGGUAUGGCAAGUCUGAAGUGAAAGCCCAGGGCUGAACCCUGGGACUGCUUUGGAAACUGUUAGACUAGAGUGCUGGAGAGGUAAGUAGAAUGCCUGGUGUAGCGGUGAAAUGCGUAGAGAUUAGGAGGAACACCAGUGGCGAAGGCGGCUUACUGGACAGUAACUGACGUUGAGGCUCGAAAGCGUGGGGAGCAAACAGGAUUAGAUACCCCUGUAGUC
RNAcentral lists this ribosomal RNA (441 nucleotides) under uncultured bacterium. RNAcentral's name for it is "partial 16S ribosomal RNA". It matches the Rfam family "Bacterial small subunit ribosomal RNA", at positions 338 to 795 of the family's 1533-position model. The record is from RNAcentral.